UCGACGAGAGGACAUGGGAAGCUUGCUUCCUAUGAAAUCGAGUGGCAAACGGGUGAGUAACGCGUAAACAACCUGCCCUUCGGAUGGGGAUAACAGCCGGAAACGGCUGCUAAUACCGAAUACGAUCUUUUCGUCGCAUGACGGAAAGAAGAAAGGAUGGCCUCUAUACAAAGCUAUCGCCGAAGGAGGGGUUUGCGUCUGAUUAGCUGGUUGGAGGGGUAACGGCCCAACAAGGCGAUGAUCAGUAGCCGGUCUGAGAGGAUGAACGGCCACAUUGGGACUGAGACACGGCCCAGACUCCUACGGGAGGCAGCAGUGGGGAAUCUUCCGCAAUGGACGAAAGUCUGACGGAGCAACGCCGCGUGAGUGAAGAAGGUCUUCGGAUUGUAAAGCUCUGUUAUACGGGACGAAAAAGACGGAUGCCAACAGUAUCCGUCCGUGACGGUACCGUAAGAGAAAGCCACGGCUAACUACGUGCCAGCAGCCGCGGUAAUACGUAGGUGGCAAGCGUUGUCCGGAAUUAUUGGGCGUAAAGGGCGCGCAGGCGGUUCGGUAAGUCUGUCUUAAAAGUGCGGGGCUUAACCCCGUGAGGGGACGGAAACUGUCGAACUUGAGUGUCGGAGAGGAAAGCGGAAUUCCUAGUGUAGCGGUGAAAUGCGUAGAUAUUAGGAGGAACACCGGUGGCGNNNGCGGCNNNCUGGACGACAACUGACGCUG
This 717-nucleotide ribosomal RNA is filed under the name uncultured bacterium. RNAcentral describes it as "bacterial SSU rRNA". It matches the Rfam family "Bacterial small subunit ribosomal RNA", at positions 62 to 748 of the family's 1533-position model. The record is from RNAcentral.